UAUGAACGGUUUUUGAAAUAUAAAAUAUGUGUGAGAGAACUGAAUGUUGCUCUUAGGCUAACCCAGGUGUUAGAUUAUUGUUGCCCAUAAGCUAAAUCAGGCAUUAGAUGCAUCGUUAUCAUGGGACUAGUUUCCCUAUCGGCAUCUCCAUCUGUAUAUCUAAUACCCCUUCACUUAUUUCCCUUUUUCAAAAUGUUGUAUUUUCCCCAAAAUUAGUCAGAGGCAGCUAAUUUUGUAAAAUGGCAUUAGUGGUUAAGGAAAUAAGGUGAAGUUGAAAUGUAAUUUGAACUUUUGAAUUUUUAAUUAUAAAGUGUUCAGUCCAAUAAUAUGUAAAGUUACAAAGUGUAUAGUUCUUCUAAAGCAGAAAAUAAUAUAUUUGUCACUGUUGAAUAACCACUGCAUCCUCUUUGCAUGAAGUAACAGUUUAGAGAAUGCUAGGUUAGGUUUCUAGGCAAGUUUGAGCCACAUAAUGUUUAUGUUCUCAUGAACUCACUUCUGUGAACUCUAUUACUAUUCUCCUUCCUAGUUCAUCAGUACCACUACACUUAAUUUUGAAUGUAACAGUUAACUGUAGUUUACUGUUUCAUAAAGAAAAUCUGAAUUGUGACUAGUUUUCUCUAUUUACAUAAAACAAGUCAAUUUCAUAACGUAUAAUUAACCCAAAAGCUAAAACUGUGGUUAGUGUUAAGCAGAAGUUUUCAAAAUUCUCACUCAAUUAAAGUGUGAAAGGAGAGGAGACAGAGACACAUACGAAUAUAAAGGUUACGUAGAUUCAUUCUCAUAACAUAAUCAAUUUCUUAGUAUUAUAUCUGAACUUGCUUGUUCAGCAGGAUGAUUGUUUAUAAAGCUAUUGUUCUUCCAACUCUGUUGUAUGCCUGCAAAAUGAUUCUAUCAAUGUUGCCUCCAAAAAAUUCCUGCAAAUCUCUUGAGAAGACAGGCAGACAAACGUCAGCAUUCUGAAAGCAGCGAAGACCACUAACAGUGAAGUGAUGAUCCUCUGCCAUCAACUUUGCUGGAUUGGCCAUGUUGUCCAAAUGCCCGAUUGCCAUCUUCCAAAGCAGUUCCUUUACUCUCAGCUCAAGACUGGAAAAAAAACAUUGGUGGACAGCAAAAGAGAUUUAAAGAUUGGUUUAAAGCUAACUUUAAAAAAAUAUGGCAUAAACACCUAGAACUGGGAAGCCCUGGCUCUUGAGCAUUCUAACUGGAGGUCACUUGUUACCAAGAGUACUAUGAAUUUUGAAGAGGCACAAACAGAGGGUAAAAGGGCAAAACAUGCCAAGAGAAAGGCGCAUCAAGCAAACCCUUGUCAGGACUGCCUUCCAUCUGGAAAUCAGUGUCCUCAUUGUGAUAGACCAUUCUAAUCCAAAAUCGGUCUCUACAGUCACUUAUGGACCCAUUGCCAAGACUCUACUUCUGGAAGACAAUCAUAGCCUAUGAUGAUGAUGAUUAUGAUGAUGAUCUGAACUUGGCUAUCAUGAAUUUGACAGCAUGCUUAAUAACUUACCUGGAGGGUUAAAGAAAAAGGGCAUAUGCACACUUUACUACCUAUGGACCCCAGUGGACAAAGACCUGGCCUGGUUCUGAACUUGGAUCUAUGAACUCUUCAGGUAGCCUUGGAUGCAGUUUACUCUGUGUAUCAAUUAAUCAUACUAUAAAUUGAGUAAAAGUGGCAAAUCCCACACCGUAGCAUUGGGAAGGGGUGAGAGUCAGAAAAUAGUCUUUAUCAACAAGAACCCUAUAGAUCUUCAGAGAAUAAAUGUAAAACUAGCACUGAUAUUUUCCUCAUUCCAAAAGCAGUGGCUAUUUCACCCUGCCUCUCCAAGGUCAAGAAAAAGAAAUAAUGAUGCAGCUUAAAUGUUGUAGCUGCUGUUUUCGUUCUGGUAUUUGUUUUGUUUUUUUUUUGCACGUUCCAGCUUUUGAGAGUUGACAGGCAUGCAGAUGCUCAUCCAUUCUUUAUUCACACAGCUGCUAUAAAUAAUUUUUCAUAUUAACAGCCAUUGUGUUUAACUUUCAUUUGACGUUUUCUGUCCUAUAGUUAAAUGUUUCCCACUAAGCUUUUAGUGAAGCAAGUCCCUGAACAGGGAAUCAUCAUCAAUUUUUACUAUUUGGGAGUUUUUCUUUUUCCCUCAAAUGCAUUAGAUUUUACUGUUGCUAUGUAUCUUCAUAAGAAAUGUGUGGCAUUGGGUGAAGGGGUGGGGACAUUUUGAAUGCAGCUUAGAAGACUGCAAACUAAAAUGCAGGAAAAUGCAAAAUAAUGUUCCACUGAAAGGGUGGUGUCAGUAUCUCAAGGCUAGACUAAAAAGUUAAGACAUUUCAAAGAGACUGAUAGAAUUCAUGAAAAUAGGAGAAGAAUCAUUACAGUUACCAUUGGUUCACUUGGUUCCCUCUUCCCACUUCCUGAAGAGUCUCCAGCAAUUUGAGUCAACAUUGGAUGGCAAAGUUCUAGACAUUUCGCCUACAACUUUAGUGGCCCAAAACGACUGUGAUCAAGCCUCUAACAAUGCUUUGGAGGUUGUUCCCCCUUUUUUUUAGAGCAUCAGCAUCCUCCAUACAUUCAAUGCCAUUGCUCCAGUCAUUUAACAUCGGAUGACUAUUCUCCCUACCACUAUCACUCCUAUCAUGGGCGUCAUUGGUCCCAACUUAUCUUGACCCUGUUGUGGGAUUUGCACUCUUGUGUGUCGAGACUGUUGGAUUACGGUUGUAUGUGUAUGAAAUGUAUGUUAUGAUUGAGCCUCAUGGCUCUGCUACUGGCAGACGUGGGCGUAAGACUCCUCGAGAGUCAGAUACUCUCGAGGAGCGAGAAAGAAAGAGGCUGCGAGAUAUCUUUGCAGAACCAUCUGACGAGGAUUCUUUUGAGGGGUUUACGGAGAGAAUGGAGGAAGAGCUGGUUAGCUCGGAAGAGGAUGAGAUGGAUUGGACUCGGCUUUGACCUUCCGUCGUCUUCUUGACGGACGCCAUCUGCUACUCUGGAUUUACGGACUGAACUGACUACGGGCUCGGAUUCUCCUACCUGGACUUGGUGAACUACAAACGUCUGCUUCUGCCUAUCGACCUUCGGAAAGAACUGGGACUACGCUACUGCUUCAAUCCUCGGCUGUUGUGUUUGUAUUGGGAAUUUGCCUGCUGUGUGGAGGAGUAACUUCUAAGUUACUCAAAACAUAGUGCUGGCAGCAGAGAGGCAUCUGCUGCCAAUUAGUUACAUUCUUUUGAACUCUUUGUUCCCCAGCUUCUGUUUUGUUUAUUCCCAGGCUGAAGCAAGCUGUUUUGAUUUUACCCGGAUUAAACUCCGGUUUAAUCCGGUUUAUCUUUUGAACGUUUUUCUUGCCCCUUUUUGCUUUUUAAGGCUAAUGUUGCCUAGCCCUUGUCUUUUACGGGCAUUUUGAGUUCUGUAAAUCCAAUAAACUCUGUUAUCUUUGA
This is a long non-coding RNA of Anolis carolinensis (green anole), 3417 nucleotides long. RefSeq lists it as uncharacterized. The transcript has 2 exons. NCBI's taxonomy places the organism in Eukaryota, Metazoa, Chordata, Lepidosauria, Squamata, Anolidae. The record is from RefSeq and is a predicted model, not a curated record.